Non-coding RNA from Camellia sinensis, 1318 nucleotides. NCBI's taxonomy places the organism in Eukaryota, Viridiplantae, Streptophyta, Magnoliopsida, Ericales, Theaceae. The record is from RefSeq and is a predicted model, not a curated record.
CCACUCACCACCGGCGCUUGCCAGCCACCGCCACCGCCACCGCCACCUGCAAAUCACCGCCACCACAUAAUCACAGGUCUCAUUUGAGGAGAGAAAUGAAGAACUGUUUGCGAUGAAAUGGAUUGCUAACUCACACUGCAUUAUAUCUUAGCCAAGAAUCUGGUGGAUUUUGCUUUUGACUGACUUCAAUUCUUCAGGUAAACAUUCCUGUAUGGUUCGCUGUGGAUACGAGACUUGGAAGCUUGUUUAUCCAUUUGGAUACACCACAAUUGUUUUCUGCAGAAAUGUAUUCGGCGGACCUUAACAUCAUUGGGAAACCUGAGGAUGACAAGAUUAAUUUGGCUCAUGAAACUCUUAAAGGGCUGUUGGCUCAUUGUUUAACCAAAAGAAGGCAGAGAUUUGGAUAUCAAGCUUCAGCGAUUGGAGAAAAAUUGUUCCACAUGAACCUAAAUUUUUUUAAUUUUUUUUUUUAUUUCUGUUCUUAUGAUUGCCUUCCAUUACUUUGUUUUCCCCUCCCUCUCUUUGGUCUUGUACUGUUGUUUGCAUGGUUCAGUGGGCAAAAUUAGUUUUCCUUAAGUACAAAGAGAUGUAGCUUUUAUUUACAUCCAUGUGAGGGCUCAGCUGUCCAGAUUUUUACGCAAGGGAAACUGAGUGCACCUCGUAUAUUGAGAAUGCAUAAAGUUAUUAACUAUGUUGUAGAAAAUAUGGUUCUUGACAAACCAUUAGAUAACAUGGACAUUGAUGGAACUUUUGCUCCUGGAUUGCCAAUAGGGUAGUUACAACAUCCAGCUGUUGGAGGAGAUGGUUCAUUUCAGUUGAAACCUUGGCAAAAGCUUAAGCUUUCUAUAGAGAUCUUCUGUAACAAUCAAGGUUUGUUAAAUGAUGGUGGCACAAUAUUGCUAGACAAGCUGGCGGGGUAUUUCUGUAUCAGUAAAAUCUUAAUUUUGUUUAUCUAUGAUUUUGUUGAACCUCAAUUCGUAUUUAGCUAACUACUUGCUCUCUUCUCCUUCUUAUCCCUGUGAUUUGGUAACUCAGAAUACUGUUAUUAUAUCAACUGGAUCCUUCUCUAGAUGCAAAAUUUGCUGGAUGAAUUACAAUUUCAGUUAGUUUAUUUUUUAAUAUAAUUUUUUUUUAUUAUGUAAAAAGUGAAAAUGUCUGUCUGGAGCAUGGUAAAACAGUUUCACCCCAACCCCCCCUCACCCUUUGAACUAUUUCUUAUGUAUUUUGGCUUCAAGUAGAUGAAAGUAAUCUUGAUAGAAAAGGCAUAUACUUAACGAGGAUAAUAGCAAUUGCUUAUACAACAUCAAUGUUUUCCUUU